GCCCUGCUGCCCUGUAGUCCUGCUGGGGUGCCAUACCUGUUGCCCUGACGCCCUGCAAGAUCUGCAGCCCUGCCUCCCUGCUGCCCUGUAGCAUUGCUGCCCUGCUGCCCUGCUGCUCUUCUGCCCUGCAACCCUGCCUACCUACUGCCUUGCAUCCCUGCCGCACUGUGAGGCUUGUAGCAUUGCCGCCCUACACCCUGAACCCUGCAGCCCUGGGAGGCCUGUAGCCCUGCAGCCCUGCUGCUCUUCAGCCCUUCUGCCCUGCUGUCCUGCAUCCCUGAUGCCCUGUUGCCAUGCAGCCCUCCGAGGCCUGCCACCCUUCCACCCUGCUGCCCUACCUCCCUGCAGCCCUGCCGCCCUGGUAGGCCUACAGCCAUGCCGCCCUGCUGCCUGGCCACUCAGUGACCCUGAGAGGCCUGCAGCCCUGCCGCAAUGCUUCCCUGCUGCCUUGCCACCCUGCUACCCUGCAGCCCUUCCAGCAUGCUUCUCUGCAGCCCUACUGCCCUGCUGCCCUGCAGCCCUGCUGCCCUGCAAGGCCUGCAGCCCGGUCACCAGUGUCACCCACCCGGCCUUUAAGGUUUCUGAGCAGACACUGGACCCUGACCUGACUGGACGCUGCCUCCUCCGGCUCCCUCUCACUUACAGGACUUAUUAUCCAAAGUCAUUGAACUAUCUUCACUGACUGUUCUACAGGACAGAAGGCAUUUCUGCUAAUUAAUGAAAAUAUUUUGCAACUAUCCCUGGACCGAAGUUUCAAGACAUAGCUUUGAAAACGUGAACUUCAGUUGUUUCUCAAAUAAUUUUCCUUUCACUUUAAAAUCAAGGUAUUUGUAAUACCAAAGAAAACAACACAAAGAAGCAAAGUGUAAUAAAUGUUAAAAGGGGUGUUUUUUUCCA
This 897-nucleotide long non-coding RNA is filed under the name Vulpes vulpes (red fox). Its description in RNAcentral is "lncRNA (ENSVVUG00000024435.1)". The record is from RNAcentral. Lineage: Eukaryota; Metazoa; Chordata; Mammalia; Carnivora; Canidae.